UCUGUUUGAUUCUAACUGAAUUGUUAGCUUAAACGAAUCAAUUAUAUGUAAAAUUUUAUUUAAAGUGUUCUUAAAGAACAACAUAAAUGCUAUAUGGAAAUAUUAUCCUUAUGCAAAUAAUUACAGUAGGAAAGUUUACUUAUAUAUGAAAGAAGGAAGCAGGUUUCGUUUAUAGGGUGGGCAAAAGUUGUGCCAGCAGCUGCGGUUAGACAGCACACUCAAGUUAACAUCUUAUAGGUUAAUAGAUUUGAUAUGUUAAAAAAUUUAAUGGGUAUAAUUUACAUAGUUUUAGUUUCUUAAGUAUCUUUGAUUUCAUGAAAACAUAAAUAAAAACACGGAUUAGAUACCCGUCUAUUUAUGAAGUAGUAGUUUAACCGAGUAAUACGAAUAGUAAUUUAAAACUCCAAGAUUUUGGCGGUGCUUUAUCUAAUUAGGGGAACCUGUUUUUUAAAUCGAUAGUCCACGAAAAACAUACCUUUCUUUGAAACACAAAUCAGUUUGUAUACUGCCGUCGUAAGUAAACCUCUUAAAGUUAGUAUGCUAAAAUGUAAUUUAUAACAUUUACGUCAGGUCAGAGUGCAAUUUAUAGGAAGGAAAUAAUGGGUUACAAUCUUUUAUUAAGAUACGUAAAAUUAGUUUAAAUACUAUUUAGAAGGAGGACUUAAUUGUAAUUAAUUAUAAUUAAUAGAAAUGAAAUUGAACGUGAAGCAUGCACAUAUCGCCCGUCACUCUCACUUUUAAAGUGAGAUAAGUCGUAACAAAGUAGGUGUAACGGAAGUUGUACCUGU
RNAcentral lists this non-coding RNA (788 nucleotides) under Drawida japonica. Lineage: Eukaryota; Metazoa; Annelida; Clitellata; Moniligastrida; Moniligastridae. The record is from RNAcentral.